GGUCUCCAUGAGUGUACACGUUAACCCUAGCUAGCGACCUUUGUCUAGCAUAGGAUCCCAAUUGGAUUUCCUUUAAAGUUGGCGAACCAACACAGAUAGGAUACAUAUAAAAAUAAACAUUUUUGGCAGUCAAUCAUUUCAUUUCAUAAACAUUUCAUUUUCAUUUCAUAAGAGUCAUUUGUCAUUUGGGCAUAAUAAUAAACUGAAAUUAACAGUUAAAAUCAUCUCAUGCAUAUAUUCGUAUAAGAGGCCUACGACACGCAGGGGAUCUCUAUAUACGUAUAGUAAAAGUAAUGCCCACCUGGAUAGGCAAAGCCUGAAGAUCAUAAUCACAUAAACUCGUCUUGGGAAAGCAGCGCUAAUCCCCUUGGUUCAUAAAGCCUACAAGAAAUUCUAUUCUUAAUAGGUCUCGUGAAGCUAACUUAAGUCAUGGUGUAGUGCUUAACAUUCUAUGAUUCACUUAGCCGGGUUUUCAAAAUUUAAUAAAUAAUUGAAAACAUUUCUCUUGAGUUAAGAACACCAACAAUAUUCUUACUCGUCUUUCUUUAAUAAUUGGAAUUAUAAUUAAAACCAAUUAAAUCAUGAUGCAAAUGCAUAGCUCAUUUCAUACUUUAAUAAUGUAAUAAGUAAUUAUUUGAAAAUAUGCACUUCAUAAUGCUAAUAAUAUUAUAAUGCAAAUCAUCUUUAAAAAUAAUUUAAUCAAACUAAUUAUUAGUCUAAUUAAAUAAAAUAGGGAAGCCAUUUAAAUAGAUGAAAUAUAGCCCAUGCUCAAUUAAUUUAAUUAAUCAAGGCAACCCAAAGUUUAAAAUAAAACUGACCCAAUUGAUAUAAAUUUAGGGCCCAAGGAAUUAAUAAACAUUGGCCCAUCUGAAAAUAAAGAAAAAUCGGCCCAACAACUUAAGCCCAUUCACUCUUUCCUUCUACAUUUUCGGCCCAAUGUAAUGGUCCAACA
This 952-nucleotide long non-coding RNA is filed under the name Salvia miltiorrhiza (redroot sage). RNAcentral describes it as "long non-coding RNA (SMIL_LNC012797)". The record is from RNAcentral. Lineage: Eukaryota; Viridiplantae; Streptophyta; Magnoliopsida; Lamiales; Lamiaceae.